This is a long non-coding RNA of Mandrillus leucophaeus (drill), 906 nucleotides long. RefSeq lists it as uncharacterized. The transcript has 4 exons. The record is from RefSeq and is a predicted model, not a curated record. NCBI's taxonomy places the organism in Eukaryota, Metazoa, Chordata, Mammalia, Primates, Cercopithecidae.
CAAAGCUCAAGUCUAUUUAACAACUGUAUUAUACUCUGUGCACAGAACAAAAUGUCAAUAAAAAUUUUUACUUGGUUUUACCUAUGUUUUAAAGAUCUAAGCAGAUAAUUUUUUCAAAGUUUAUCCACAUUUUCUGAAUCUUCUUAUAAAAGAAAAAUACCUUAUGCCUGCAUAAAUGAAAGGAGACCAAGAUUAUUGACUUAUUAAUUUAGCAAAUACAUCGCGAGCCCUUAUCCUCCACUAGGCAUUGUGCUAAAUACUAAGGAUAUAGUUGAUAAGAUACAUAAUCCUUUACCUCAUCAGGCUCUGCUCCUAGUGGGGAGACAAAAGGAAAGCAGAAAAAGAUGACAACACAAUGGGCUGAAAUGACCAUAAUACAGGUAUGUGCCAGGUACUGAGAGAGGAUGAAGGUUUCACGAAUGUAUUUGAAACCAAGACUUGAUAGGAAUUUUACUUUAACAGAAGAUAGUAGUGAGGGCUUGAACACUAAGGAAUUAAUGAGAGAUCAGCCCCUUUAGCGACUCAAAGCAUAUUAUAGCUCCAGCUGGCCAAAAAGAGAUGAAAUAAAUAAUAUAACAGGAACAACUGCAAGAGCAAGUGCAGCAUCAGGUUGGUGUAUUUCUUUUGAUCAAAAGGUCAAUUUGCAACUGCUCUUUGAAGAGCGUGCUGGUGACAGUGUGCAACCUUUGCAGUAGCUCCUGGACUGGCCUUAGGCUGCUUUCAAAUUAAACCAGCACUGUAAAGAAGAGAGUAAGUACCCUAAAUCUGAAUGAAGGAGCAUCUUAAUUCCAAUCCUGGCUCCACUGCUGACUAUAAGUAUGACCCUGGAUGAGUUACCUCUCUCAGUCUCAGUCUCCUCAUCCACAAAGCAGGGAUCACAAUAAAUGAAUAGCACCUUUCAAAGAA